AAGUCGUAACAAGGUGUAGGUGAACCUGCGGAAGGAUCAUUAACACGUAUCCAACGUUAAACCCCCCCGUGAACGUACAUUCCUUCUCCGCUUACAGAAAAUUGGUUGCAAUCCCUGGUAAAUCAUCGCCGAACAGUUUUGAUUCAGGGACUUCUAACACGUAAAUGGAAACUAAAGAGGAUAGUAGCUGUAUCUUUGUAAGUAGAAAGGUCACGAGAUGCUGUAAGAUAGACCGCUUUAAUCAGCGGGUUACCAGAGGCCGACACGGCCGGUAAUCGGAUCCCGGGCGUCGUUCCUAUAGGAACGAGUAUACGUCCCUCUUGACCCCUUGAAACGAGAGGGUGUCGGCAAACGUUAUGGCUCGACUUGCUCGCACUCUAACGGGUGACGAGUACAAACGAACAACUGUUAACAAUGGAUAUCUUGGUUCUC
RNAcentral lists this unclassified non-coding RNA (432 nucleotides) under fungal sp. RNAcentral's name for it is "partial internal transcribed spacer region". Lineage: Eukaryota; Fungi. The record is from RNAcentral.